UACGAAGGGUGCAAGCGUUACUCGGAAUUACUGGGCGUAAAGCGUGCGUAGGUGGUUGUUUAAGUCUGCUGUGAAAGCCCUGGGCUCAACCUGGGAAUUGCAGUGGAUACUGGGCGACCAGAGUGUGGUAGAGGAUAGUGGAAUUUCCGGUGUAGCAGUGAAAUGCGUAGAGAUCGGAAGGAACAUCUGUGGCGAAGGCGACUAUCUGGGCCAACACUGACACUGAGGCACGAAAGCGUGGGGAGCAAACAGG
Molecule: ribosomal RNA, 253 nt
Filed under: uncultured bacterium
Lineage: Bacteria
Description: partial 16S ribosomal RNA
Rfam family: Bacterial small subunit ribosomal RNA
Source: RNAcentral